GGGUCAUUAGCUCAGUUGGUAGAGCACUGGACUCUUAAUCCAUUGGUCGACAGUUCGAGUCUGUCACGACCCACCA
RNAcentral lists this transfer RNA (76 nucleotides) under Alcaligenes faecalis. Its description in RNAcentral is "tRNA-Lys". It matches the Rfam family "tRNA". From Rfam's summary of the family: Transfer RNA (tRNA) molecules are approximately 80 nucleotides in length. Their secondary structure includes four short double-helical elements and three loops (D, anti-codon, and T loops). Further hydrogen bonds mediate the characteristic L-shaped molecular structure. tRNAs have two regions of fundamental functional importance: the anti-codon, which is responsible for specific mRNA codon recognition, and the 3' end, to which the tRNAs corresponding amino acid is attached (by aminoacyl-tRNA synthetases). tRNAs cope with the degeneracy of the genetic code in two manners: having more than one tRNA (with a specific anti-codon) for a particular amino acid; and 'wobble' base-pairing, i.e. permitting non-standard base-pairing at the 3rd anti-codon position. The record is from RNAcentral. Lineage: Bacteria; Pseudomonadati; Pseudomonadota; Betaproteobacteria; Burkholderiales; Alcaligenaceae.